CUCCAGACAGUUUUAUUUAUAAUUGUUUUGGAUUGCUGUUUUUUGCUUGAAGAAAUCCCUUUAUGAUAUUGUUAUUUAAGUGAAUGUUCAAUUGUUUUCAGAACAAUUUUUCAUGCUAAAGGGACAAGUACAUAUAAACUUUAUAAAGACAGGAUAACAUUUUACCCUAUUACUAUACAGUUUGUGACCAGAACAUAAAGGAUGGAUAUGAUUUGGAAUUGGGCAUGAAUUUAAACAACUUGAAAAUGUAUUUGAUUUCCUACAGAUUGUGUACUGUGUUUUACGCUAUUAGAGAUCAAUUCAUCAAGUAUUUUUGCCAAAAGUAUAUUUAUUUCGAGUGAAUAUACUUAACACAUUUGAUGAUGUAGAUUAGUAGCAUUUUUUUCGUCCCAGGUUAGUAUUAUCAAGAAUAUUUUUAUUGAAAUGAUAGUCUUGCAUUGGUCUCUUUUCAGUACUCUUUUUACAUGAGCCGGAUAGAGGACAGACUGUACAUAUAACCUCGAAGCGGACAUAAAACCUUAUAGCUACAGACACCAACUCAGACACAUUUCAAUUCACAAGAGAUCAGACAGGAUGUGCGUCAGCAGAUACAGAUGAACACCCAAGUUGCAACAGUAACAAGAAAGAGCCUCAGACUAAGUCACUGAGCGAGAUGCAGAUGGUGUACUAUGCCAAACAGAACAGCUUGGCACAAACAUGAAAAGUUCUACGAAAGAAUCACAGUACAGACUGAUAUGCUCAUUUAAAAAAAUCCAAAAAUGACCUGAAACAUAUCUCCCUUGGCAACAUCUUCUAAAGGUUCCGGAUCCACUGCUGGUUCCCCCACAUCAACCGCAGAUUAUGAAGAACAGCACAGGCAAUGAUUAUGCGGCUGACCUUGGC
This is a long non-coding RNA of Dreissena polymorpha, 882 nucleotides long. RefSeq lists it as uncharacterized. NCBI's taxonomy places the organism in Eukaryota, Metazoa, Mollusca, Bivalvia, Myida, Dreissenidae. The record is from RefSeq and is a predicted model, not a curated record. The transcript has 4 exons.